CCGGCGACCGGCGCACGGGUGAGUAACACGUAUGCAACCUGGCCGUGACAGAUGGAUAACCGGGAGAAAUCCCGCCUAAUACAACAUAAUGCCGGGAGGGGACAUCCCCUGCCGGUCAAAGGGGGCGACCCCGGUCACGGAUGGGCAUGCGGCGCAUUAGGUAGUUGGUGGGGCAACGGCCCACCAAGCCGACGAUGCGUAGGGGUUCUGAGAGGAAGGUCCCCCACAUUGGAACUGAGACACGGACCAGACUCCUACGGAAGGCAGCAG
This 270-nucleotide ribosomal RNA is filed under the name uncultured bacterium. RNAcentral describes it as "partial 16S ribosomal RNA". It matches the Rfam family "Bacterial small subunit ribosomal RNA", at positions 88 to 354 of the family's 1533-position model. The record is from RNAcentral.